UAAUCCCAUUUUAUAUUUGUGUAAACUGAGGCUGAGAAACAGUAAAAAGUGACAUGCCCAGAGUCACAAAGCUAGCAGUCUAUGAGCUAAAGUCUAUGAGGUGGAGAGCUCUGUUUAAAAAUUGGCUUUCACUUGUUGAUAUAUUCCUUGCAUGGCUUCAAUAAAAAUGUAAACCAGGGACUUUUUGUUGAUUCUAAGGCUAUUUAGUGGGUAUUACACAGUGACUUGCUAGUACUGAAAAAUCCAAGUGUCUGGUAAAUGUCCAGAGCUUUGGUACAGAUCCUAAAUGAAGCCAGUAAAAGGAGAAAGAGCUGCAGUUUCUCUAGAGGAAACACGAGACUUUCCAGGACUUUGUACAAAUCUACUUCCUUGACUCCUGUCUAGCCUGAUGGCAUGAUACAGCGCAGAUAGAUACAGAACGUUCCGCCACUUCCAAAACACGAAUAGAAAGUACCAAGUUUAUACCUACAGAGAAGGAUCGAUUCUGCUUGGGACGGGAUGCGUUUGGUCGAAGAUCAGAUGGUAACAUAGUAGAAGCCUGUGACUGCUGAAUGGGACAGGCAUGACUCUUCCCCAAAUGAGCUCUCCUUCUCCUCUUCAGUCUUCCAUGCUUGCAAAGGACAACUGGAGGUGUGGCAAAGAAUCAAAAACUGAGGGGAUGUCCAUCCAUUGGGGAAUGACUGAACAAAUUGUGCACUGGUGA
RNAcentral lists this long non-coding RNA (703 nucleotides) under Monodelphis domestica (gray short-tailed opossum). RNAcentral describes it as "lncRNA (ENSMODG00000049546.1)". Lineage: Eukaryota; Metazoa; Chordata; Mammalia; Didelphimorphia; Didelphidae. The record is from RNAcentral.